UGGGGAAUCUUGCGCAAUGGGCGAAAGCCUGACGCAGCAACGCCGCGUGAGCGAAGAAGGCCUUCGGGUUGUAAAGCUCUGUCAGGAGGAAAGAAGGCACCUGGGUUAAUAGCCCAAGGGCUGACGGUACCUCCAAAGGAAGCCACGGCUAACUACGUGCCAGCAGCCGCGGUACUACGUAGGUGGCAAGCGUUGUCCGGAAUCAUUGGGCGUAAAGAGUGCGUAGGUGGCUUGGCAGGUCUGGUAGGAAAUUUCGGGGCUCAACCCGGAACGUGCAUCGGAAACCGGCUUGCUAGAGUCUGGGAGAGGAGAGUGGAAUUCCUGGUGUAGCGGUGAAAUGCGUAGAUAUCAGGAGGAACACCGGUAGCGAAGGCGGCUCUCUGGAACAGUACUGACGCUGAGGCGCGAAAGCUAGGGGAGCGAACA
Molecule: ribosomal RNA, 426 nt
Filed under: uncultured prokaryote
Description: bacterial SSU rRNA
Rfam family: Bacterial small subunit ribosomal RNA
Source: RNAcentral